CCCUUAGAUGUUCUGGGCUGCACGCGCGCUACACUGAUGCGUUCAACAAGUUGGACCUCGUCCGAGAGGAAAUCGGGGGAAUCUUUUGAAAACGUAUCGUGAUAGGGAUAGAUUAUUGUAAUUAUUAAUCUUCAACGAGGAAUUCCUAGUAAGCAUGAGUCAUCAGCUCGCAUUGAUUACGUCCCUGCCCUUUGUACACACUGCCCGUCGCACCUACCGAUUGAAUGGUUCGGUGAAGAUCUCGGACUUCGAUAUUUAUUCUUUAUUGAGUUUAUAUUGUGGGAAGUUAUCUAAACCUCAUCAUUUAGAGGAAGGUGAAGUCGUAACA
RNAcentral lists this ribosomal RNA (328 nucleotides) under uncultured eukaryote. RNAcentral's name for it is "partial 18S ribosomal RNA". It matches the Rfam family "Eukaryotic small subunit ribosomal RNA", at positions 1470 to 1796 of the family's 1831-position model. The record is from RNAcentral.